GAGAGCCGUAUGCGGGAGAUCCGCACGUACGGUUCGGAGGGGGGAGCGCCGGGUAACCGGUCGUUCCUACCCCUAU
Molecule: non-coding RNA, 76 nt
Organism: Desulfomonile tiedjei DSM 6799
Lineage: Bacteria; Pseudomonadati; Thermodesulfobacteriota; Desulfomonilia; Desulfomonilales; Desulfomonilaceae
Source: Rfam